This 407-nucleotide ribosomal RNA is filed under the name uncultured bacterium. RNAcentral describes it as "bacterial SSU rRNA". It matches the Rfam family "Bacterial small subunit ribosomal RNA", at positions 354 to 775 of the family's 1533-position model. The record is from RNAcentral.
AUUAGGAAUCUUGCGCAAUGGGGGCAACCCUGACGCAGCGACGCCGCGUGGAGGAGGAAGUCCUUCGGGAUGUAAACUCCUUUUGGCAAGGAAGAAGAAAGUGACGGUACUUGCCGAAUAAGCCCCGGCUAACUACGUGCCAGCAGCCGCGGUAAUACGUAGGGGGCGAGCGUUGUCCGAAGUUACUGGGCGUAAAGCGCGCGUAGGCGGGAGCGUAAGUCCGCUGUGAAAGCCCGAAGCUUAACUUCGGUUGGUCGGUGGAGACUGCGUUUCUUGAAGAUGCUAGAGGGAGAUGGAAUUACCGGUGUAGCGGUGAAAUGCGUAGAGAUCGGUAGGAACACCCGUGGCGAAGGCGGUCUCCUGGGGCAGUCUUGACGCUGAGGCGCGAAAGCUGGGGGAGCGAACGG